UGAACCAACCCAUAUAAGCACCAGAAAACAAAGACUAGGCCUUGUACCUUUUGCAUCAUGAUUUAGCCAGCACCCUCAAGCAAAGAGACCUUUAGUUUGAAACCCCGAAACCAGGUGAGCUACCCCGAGACAGCCUAUAUUAUUUAGGGCUAACCCGUCUCUGUGGCAAAAGAGUGGGAAGAGCUCCGGGUAGAAGUGACAGACCUACCGAACCUGGUGAUAGCUGGUUAUCUGAGAAGUGGAUAGAAGUUCAGCCUCAUACGCCCCAGAUCAAGAAACAUAUCAUCAAGAUACUCAAGGGAAAAAUACGAGAGUUAGUUGAAGGGGGUACAGCCCCUUUAACAAAGGAUACAACCUUCACAGGAGGAUAAAGAUCAUAAUAUAUAAAACAUACUGUUCUAGUGGGCCUAAAGGCAGCCACCUAAACAGAAAGCGUUAAAGCUCAGACAGAAGGAAGUUUAUUAUACCGAUAAAAAAUCUUACUCCCCUAAUUGUAUCAGGCCAACCCAUGCCCGCAUGGAAGAGAUUAUGCUAAAAUGAGUAACAAGAAGACCUGCUCUUCUCCCAGCACAAGUGUAAACCAGAUCGGACCAACCACUGGAAUUUAACGAGCCCAACCCAAGAGGGCAGUGUGAACAAUAAAAACCUCAAGAAGAGCUCACAGUUAAAAUGAUCGUUAACCCCACACUGGCGUGCUAUUUUAUAAAGGAAAGACUAAAGGAAGGGGAAGGAACUCGGCAAACACAAGCCUCGCCUGUUUACCAAAAACAUCGCCUCCUGCAACUGGAUUGAGUAUAGGAGGUCCAGCCUGCCCAGUGACUACGGGUUCAACGGCCGCGGUAUUUUGACCGUGCAAAGGUAGCGCAAUCACUUGUCUCUUAAAUAGAGACCUGUAUGAAUGGCUAGACG
This 909-nucleotide ribosomal RNA is filed under the name Mylocheilus caurinus (peamouth chub). Its description in RNAcentral is "partial 16S ribosomal RNA". It matches the Rfam family "Bacterial large subunit ribosomal RNA", at positions 539 to 2006 of the family's 2925-position model. The record is from RNAcentral. Lineage: Eukaryota; Metazoa; Chordata; Actinopteri; Cypriniformes; Leuciscidae.